This 406-nucleotide ribosomal RNA is filed under the name uncultured bacterium. Its description in RNAcentral is "partial 16S ribosomal RNA". It matches the Rfam family "Bacterial small subunit ribosomal RNA", at positions 28 to 526 of the family's 1533-position model. The record is from RNAcentral.
GACGAACGCUGGCGGCGUGCUUAACACAUGCAAGUCGAACGAGUGGCGAACGGGUGAGUAAUACGUGGGUAACCUGCCCUCUUUUUGGGAUAAGCCUUGGAAACGGGGUCUAAUACCGAAUAACGGGGGAGGGGCUCGCGGCCUAUCAGCUUGUUGGUGGGGGGAUGGCCUACCAAGGCGUUGACGGGUAGCCGGCCUGAGAGGGUGACCGGCGACAGUGGGACUGAGAGACGGCCCAGGGGAGUACGAGAGGGAGCAGUGGGGAAGAUUGCACAAUGGGCGAAGGCGUGAUGCAGCGACGCCGCGUGGGGGAUGAAGGCUUUCGGGUGGUAAACCUCGGGCGCAAGCGAACGGGUAGGUGGAGAAGAAGCGCCGGCUAACUACGUGCCAGCCGCCGCGGUAAUUC